Molecule: ribosomal RNA, 253 nt
Filed under: uncultured bacterium
Lineage: Bacteria
Description: partial 16S ribosomal RNA
Rfam family: Bacterial small subunit ribosomal RNA
Source: RNAcentral
GACGGAGGAUGCAAGCGUUAUCCGGAAUGAUUGGGCGUAAAGCGUCCGCAGGUGGCUGUUCAAGUCUGCUGUCAAAGACCGGGGCUUAACUUCGGAAAGGCAGUGGAAACUGAACAGCUAGAGUAUGGUAGGGGCAGAGGGAAUUCCUGGUGUAGCGGUGAAAUGCGUAGAGAUCAGGAAGAACACCGGUGGCGAAGGCGCUCUGCUGGACCAUAACUGACGCUCAGGGACGAAAGCUAGGGGAGCGAAUGGG